RNAcentral lists this microRNA precursor (88 nucleotides) under Cajanus cajan (pigeon pea). RNAcentral describes it as "miRNA gene-KK1_047995". Lineage: Eukaryota; Viridiplantae; Streptophyta; Magnoliopsida; Fabales; Fabaceae. The record is from RNAcentral.
UUAAGUAGCUGAUUUUAAAAGUAAAACUUUUAACAUUGGCUCCUUAAGAACAAUUUUAAAAGUGCUACUUUUAAAAUCGGCUACUUAA